This 236-nucleotide unclassified non-coding RNA is filed under the name Hevea brasiliensis (rubber tree). Lineage: Eukaryota; Viridiplantae; Streptophyta; Magnoliopsida; Malpighiales; Euphorbiaceae. The record is from RNAcentral.
GAAGAAGAAGAAGAAGAAGAAGAGGAGGAGUACCUGGUGGGGACAAGCCGGCUACUAGAGGUGACUGGCAGCGACGACAGAGGGCAACUUGGUUCAGGGAUGUGUCGCCGAUGCUCUGCUUCCUUUCCCAUCCGAUGCUCUGUUCCCUUCCCCCAUAUGUCGAUGCCAUGCUUUGCGAAUUUUCUCCAAUCCUGUGAUGUAUAUCGAUGCCAUGCUCUGCUCUUUCUCCCAAUCCC